This 1163-nucleotide long non-coding RNA is filed under the name Ricinus communis (castor bean). RNAcentral's name for it is "long non-coding RNA (RCOM_LNC002160)". Lineage: Eukaryota; Viridiplantae; Streptophyta; Magnoliopsida; Malpighiales; Euphorbiaceae. The record is from RNAcentral.
GGGGAUUCAGUAGAGAACUCUAACUUUUGAUUUUUACCUUUGUAUUUUGACUCUUUUACCUUUUUGUAGAACUUUUUUUUAACUUUUUUGAGUAUACAAAAUCCUUUAUUUUGGUUUUCAAAUCGCUUUCAUUUUUCUUCAUUUUCUUUUAUUAUUGCAUUUAUAUAAGCUCCUCAAAACCCUAACAGGUGAUGAUUUGAUCAAACUUGAAAAAUUAUCUUUUAUCCUUCAAAGCCAUGCAACAUACAAGCUUGAUUAUGACUUUCUCCAUGUUGCUGUCAACGUUUGGUGUGUCUUUAGGUUCAAUGGGCAAGAGUUGUGUCCCAUAAUUGAAGAAUUCUCUACCAUUCUUGGAGGCCCUAGGAUUCUACUCAUCCUAUUAUCUUGCCAAAACUUGAUGAGCCUUUUUCUGGCAAACUAAUGGAGUUAUUCGACAUACCCCUAGCUGAGGUACUUUCUCAUUUUAUUGGUGAGUAUAUUACCCUUACUUCUCUGAUCUCCUGCUCUUAGAAGAAGGAAAAGGGCACACCUGCUUGGAUUCCAAUACUGGCCUUUUACCUUUAUGCCCAAUUUCUGUUGAUUACUGCUCAAUGAGGGGAGAUAUUAGAAUUGCUUGCAUUAUUUAUCAGAUGGAGCAUGAAACAGAUCCAAUUUCAGUCAUCUUGAUUGAAACCAUCAUUGGGUUAGACUUGUACAAAGCCCAUCAACGGUUUGGUGGUAGCUUCGUUCUCUUACAGGUAUGCAGCCAAAUCUUUUUUUUUUACUAUUUAUUUUUUUUCUCUUAAUUUUUACCUAAGCCACCCUAUCGAAUUUUCAACUCAGCAGACUUUAUUUUUGCUUAAGCUACCCUUUUAGAUUUUCAACUUAGCUUAUUUUUCUUCUUUUUUUUUUUCCUAUAUGUUCUCUUUUUCUAUCUCUCUUUGUAGAUUUGGCAGCGAGAGAAGAUUUAAACAUUGACCAUCCUGAGGAAUAUCGACAAGUGCGAGUUGAAGCACAUACAAAUUCGAUCUGUUGUUACCCUACAAGGUCAUUAUGACUGGAUUUUCUAGAUGAAGGGCAUUCCAAACACACUCAUUCGUUGGGCCUGCCCUUGGUGGAAGAUCAAGCAUGUCACACUCAUGGUGUAUGGUGAUUUUGUACCCUUACCAGGACUACGGGCAUCC